UGUAAACCGAGAGAAAAAAAACUUCAAUCAAGGAUAAACAAUUUGGAUGUUUGCCUUGUAUGAUGGCAAUGAAUCACAUCGGGUAUCCAAAUCCGAAGAACAAACAGCAAGAUCUCAAAAAGUGUUUAUCAUGAUUUUAAAACUUGUUUUAUUCAUAUUUUGAGGUUCGAUUUUUCCAAACUUACAUGUCAGCUCAAAGAC
This 201-nucleotide long non-coding RNA is filed under the name Mytilus galloprovincialis (Mediterranean mussel). Lineage: Eukaryota; Metazoa; Mollusca; Bivalvia; Mytilida; Mytilidae. The record is from RNAcentral.